GAUGAACGCUGACAGAAUGCUUAACACAUGCAAGUCCACUUGAAUUUGGGUUUUUAACUUAGGUUUGGGUGGCGGACGGGUGAGUAACGCGUAAAGAACUUGCCUCACAGCUAGGGACAACAUUUGGAAACGAAUGCUAAUACCUAAUAUUAUGAUAAUAGGGCAUCCUAUAAUUAUGAAAGCUAUAAGCGCUGUGAGAGAGCUUUGCGUCCCAUUAGCUAGUUGGAGAGGUAACGGCUCACCAAGGCGAUGAUGGGUAGCCGGCCCGAGAGGGUGAUCGGCCACAAGGGGACUGAGACACGGCCCUUACUCCUACGGGAGGCAGCAGUGGGGAAUAUUGGACAAUGGACCGAGAGUCUGAUCCAGCAAUUCUGUGUGCACGAUGAAGUUUUUCGGAAUGUAAAGUGCUUUCAGUUGGGAAGAAACAAAUGACGGUACCAACAGAAGAAGUGACGGCUAAAUACGUG
RNAcentral lists this ribosomal RNA (467 nucleotides) under uncultured bacterium. Its description in RNAcentral is "partial 16S ribosomal RNA". It matches the Rfam family "Bacterial small subunit ribosomal RNA", at positions 28 to 507 of the family's 1533-position model. The record is from RNAcentral.